RNAcentral lists this long non-coding RNA (1894 nucleotides) under Theobroma cacao (cacao). RNAcentral's name for it is "long non-coding RNA (TCAC_LNC000362)". The record is from RNAcentral. Lineage: Eukaryota; Viridiplantae; Streptophyta; Magnoliopsida; Malvales; Malvaceae.
GAGUUAUGCGUAAAUAGUUUUUAUAACGUAAAAACAAAAUAAAUUCAUUCAUAUUGUAGCACAAUAAACUAUUAAAUUUACAAUAUCAAGUGGGCCCACAAUAACUAGAAUUAAAGAAGCUGUGAAUCUAUAGUUUGGAAGACGCAAUCGAAUGGAAAUUCUCGAUGGAACCAGCUAUCUACAGCCUACUCUAAUCCUGAAAUGGGUGGAAAAGAGGGUGGUGAGAUUAUAAAAUCUCAGUGAGUAAACAAACACCAUUUAAAUAAGCUAAAGCCGAGUAAAAGGAGACAAUUAAAAUAUCCCAUCAUUUUAAGUAUUUCACAAUUUGAAAAUUCAUCCCAACCCAUGCAAACGAUUGUAUUUCAUUUAAUUUCUCAUUAGGGCUUAUGACUUUCAUAAAUAGUUGGCUCAUGCCAUCAAAUAUACUCGAUGACACCUUGAUCAGAGGCGUACAUUCGAGCUCACCAAGGCUGUUAAAAAUUUCAUAUACACAUAAAACAUAUUUUUAGUUUGAGAAAACACAACUGUUCCUUGGUGUUGGCUGAGUUCCCCUUCACAUGGUGGUUUGGCGUGAAGUGAACCCUAAGCUUUACCCCAAGAGAUGCCCUACGCGCCUCUCUGUUCGAGGUAAGAAUAUAAUGGGGUUUAUCGUGCCCCUCUAAAAGGUUGGUCCACAUAAACCCCCUACUGCAGUGAUUAAUUAAUAUAUAAUCCACCAAUCAAUAAAAUUCAUUCUAGCAUGACAUGGCAAUUAUUAUAAUUCACAGCCUUUCAAGGCUAAAUACACAUUUCAUAUAUUUCAACACCAAUACCAAUUCAGCCAUUCAUGCAAAUAUUGUCAUAAGCCAUUAGAUUCAUAAAUUUAAUUCAUAACAAGUGGUCUCCAAUUACUCUAUUUUUCAAAAUCAUCAUUCAAUUUUAAAACAAUUUAUAACAUCUUUUCAUGUAGACACAUUUUGUUUGUAAAACUCAAGAUUUACCAUUUAAUUUAAUUUUCAUAAAAUUUCAUCAAAAUUGAUCAAAAACAUACUUUAGAUAAUAAAAAUGAUGGUAAGGUUACUCACAGUACUAGGAGUUCGAUAUACUCCUAUUCCCGAUCUUUGAGCACAAUUUCUUUACCUUUGUUAGAAGGCUCACCACCUAUACAUUAUACGUGACACGAAUUUCAAUAAAUUGUGUCAAUUUAUCAUAAACUAUUUCAGGCUCUCUAAAUCUAAAUGAAUGCAUGCGAUGGGAUGCAAAAUGUCUGAUUAAUCACUUAAAUGUGAUAUUCGACCUAAAUCACAUUAUAAUCAGCCUAAUCGGCUAAAAUCUCCAAUUUAACUUCAAAUCAAUUCUUCUCACUUUCUACACUCUAAUUAUGCCUAAAUUACCUCAGUGACUGUGAAUGAAAUUCAACUUAUCAGUCCCGAGUCAAUAUUCACACGUCUACACAUUAGGUAAAAAUUCGAAUUUUCACACCAAAAUUUUCCAUUUAAUUUCUAGCCUCACCAAACAUCAAAUAUCACCCAAAUAUCAUGAAAUAUCAUCAAUUUCAGCCACAAUAUCCUCCCUAGAAAAUUCGGCCAAGAAUGGUGAUGGGGGAAAAUGAAUUCUCGUUGUUUUGUUUCUAAAUAUACUAAACUAACUAAAAACACUAACAUAACUUAAAAUCAAAUCAAUCUAACUUCAUUCUCUCUCCAUACCAAUUUGGGCAGCCAUGAAUUCACCAUGAAAACAUGAAAUCUAACCAUGGAAAAUAAGGAGAAAAGCAUGGGAAAGGUAGAUCACAAGUCAAAAUCAAGAAAUUUUACCUUUGAUUGCUUGAUUCCUUGAAAUCCCACACUUUUUCUUUAAUUUUCCCACCUAGGUUUCUUGUUUUUCUUUUCCUCUCUUUGUUCUUGCUAUGGCCAGC